GUCAGGAUGGCCGAGCGGUCUAAGGCGCCAGACUUAAGUUUCCUUGGGCGUGGGUUCGAAUCCCACUUCUGACA
Non-coding RNA from Ctenocephalides felis (cat flea), 74 nucleotides. The record is from the annotation of a RefSeq genome assembly. Lineage: Eukaryota; Metazoa; Arthropoda; Insecta; Siphonaptera; Pulicidae.